This 660-nucleotide ribosomal RNA is filed under the name Triticum aestivum (bread wheat). RNAcentral's name for it is "partial small subunit ribosomal RNA". The record is from RNAcentral. Lineage: Eukaryota; Viridiplantae; Streptophyta; Magnoliopsida; Poales; Poaceae.
UUGCAUGUGCCGGAGCUUGUAGACGGUGAUGACCGCACCAGAUGGCGGCUAGAGCCAUCUGGUCGAUUCUCUAUGAAAUCCCUCUACCAGGAGAUUGCCCGCUCUCCGGGCCCGGAGGCUCUCUCCAUCAUCUAGGAGAUCCGGCUCCCCUUGAAGAUUAGGAUUUUCCUAUGGCAAUGGAUCUGUGGCCGCCUCCCUUCUGGAGUUGAAGUCCAAAAGCGUAGCGGCCCUGGCGAUGGUCUUUGCCCGCUUUGCGGACCCGAAGAAGAUACGAACCAUAUCUUUUUCACCUACAUAUCCGCGCAGUUCCUCUGGAGUUGUUUCCGCGAACUCGUUGGCGGAAGCUGGGUUCACAACAACUUCCCCGGCCUCUUCGCCGAACUCCAGGCACUGCCACCCCUGUCUCGCCACAUUAGGUGGCUGACUAUCGGGGUGCUUGGCUGGACGUUGUGGACUGUUAGGAAUAAGCUUGUGAUUCAGCGUAUACUGCUUCGUCGCGCUAUUGAUGCUUUGUUCAAAUGGUCUGGUUACCUGCAGAUUUGGCGGCCGCUUAGCCGCUACAGGGAGAGAGACGCCAUCACCUCCAUCAUCUCCCAGCUCCGUGCGAUGGCUCUCCGGAUGGCUCCACAGCUUCCCCCUCCACCACCAGAGCCGGAUUAG